RNAcentral lists this ribosomal RNA (842 nucleotides) under uncultured bacterium. Its description in RNAcentral is "bacterial SSU rRNA". It matches the Rfam family "Bacterial small subunit ribosomal RNA", at positions 603 to 1442 of the family's 1533-position model. The record is from RNAcentral.
UAUGGCUUANCCAUAGAACUGCUUGGGAAACUGGUAAUCUAGAGUGAGGGAGAGGCAGAUGGAAUUGGUGGUGUAGGGGUAAAAUCCGUAGAGAUCACCAGGAAUACCCAUUGCGAAGGCGAUCUGCUGGAACUCAACUGACGCUAAUGCGUGAAAGCGUGGGGAGCAAACAGGAUUAGAUACCCUGGUAGUCCACGCCCUAAACGAUGUAUACUAGUUGUUGCUAAGCUAGUCUUGGCAGUAAUGCACCUAACGGAUUAAGUAUACCGCCUGGGGAGUACGGUCGCAAGAUUAAAACUCAAAGGAAUAGACGGGGACCCGCACAAGCGGUGGAGCAUGUGGUUUAAUUCGAAGAUACGCGAAGAACCUUACCCGGACUUGAUAUCUAACAAAUCAUCUAGAGAUAGAAGAGUGUCUGCUUGCAGAAAUGUUAAGACAGGUGCUGCACGGCUGUCGUCAGCUCGUGUCGUGAGAUGUUGGGUUAAGUCCCGCAACGAGCGCAACCCACGUCAUUAGUUGCUAACAGUUCGGCUGAGCACUCUAAUGAGACUGCCUUCGUAAGGAGGAGGAAGGUGUGGACGACGUCAAGUCAUCAUGGCCCUUAUGUCCGGGGCGACACACGUGCUACAAUGGCAUAUACAAUGAGAAGCAAUAUCGCGAGAUGGAGCAAAUCUAUAAAAUAUGUCCCAGUUCGGAUUGGAGUCUGCAACUCGACUCCACGAAGCCGGAAUCGCUAGUAAUCGUAGAUCAGCCAUGCUACGGUGAAUACGUUCCCGGGUCUUGUACUCACCGCCCGUCACACCAUGGGAGUUGAUUUCACUCGAAGCCGGAAUACUAAAUUA